CUCUUGAGAGCGGCGGACGGGUGAGUAAUGCCUAGGAAUCUGCCUAGUGGUGGGGAUAACGUUCGGAAACGGACGCUAAUACCGCAUACGUCCUACGGGAGAAAGCGGGGGAUCUUCGGACCUCGCGCCAUUAGAUGAGCCUAGGUCGGAUUAGCUAGUUGGUGAGGUAAUGGCUCACCAAGGCGACGAUCCGUAACUGGUCUGAGAGGAUGAUCAGUCACACUGGAACUGAGACACGGUCCAGACUCCUACGGGAGGCAGCAGUGGGGGAAUAUUGGACAAUGGGCGAAAGCCUGAUCCAGCCAUGCCGCGUGUGUGAAGAAGGUCUUCGGAUUGUAAAGCACUUUAAGUUGGGAGGAAGGGUAGUAACCUAAUACGUUGCUACUUUGACGUUACCGACAGAAUAAGCACCGGCUAACUUCGUG
This 425-nucleotide ribosomal RNA is filed under the name uncultured bacterium. RNAcentral's name for it is "bacterial SSU rRNA". It matches the Rfam family "Bacterial small subunit ribosomal RNA", at positions 86 to 507 of the family's 1533-position model. The record is from RNAcentral.